RNAcentral lists this ribosomal RNA (482 nucleotides) under uncultured bacterium. RNAcentral describes it as "partial 16S ribosomal RNA". It matches the Rfam family "Bacterial small subunit ribosomal RNA", at positions 29 to 507 of the family's 1533-position model. The record is from RNAcentral.
AUUGAACGCUGGCGGCAUGCUUUACACAUGCAAGUCGAACGGUAACAGGCCGCAAGGUUCUGACGAGUGGCGGACGGGGGAGUAAUGCAGCGGAACGUGCCCAGUCGUGGGGGAUAACUACGCGAAAGAGUGGCUAAUACCGCAUACGAUCUAUUGAUGAAAGCGGGGGACCGUAAGGCCUCGCGCGAUUGGAGCGGCCGAUGUCAGAUUAGGUAGGUGGUGGGGUAAAGGCUCACCAAGCCAACGAUCUGUAGCUGGUCUGAGAGGACGACCAGCCACACUGGGACUGAGACACGGCCCAGACUCCUACGGGAGGCAGCAGUGGGGAAUUUUGGACAAUGGGCGCAAGCCUGAUCCAGCCAUGCCGCGUGGAGGAAGAAGGCCUUCGGGUUGUAAACUGCUUUUGUACGGAACGAAAAGCAUCUGGUUAAUACCCGGGGCUACUGACGGUACCGAAAGAAUAAGCACCGGCUAACUACGUG